GAUGAACGCUGGCGGCGUGCUUAAUACAUGCAAGUCGAGCGAACGGACGAGAAGCUUGCUUCUCUGAUGUUAGCGGCAGACGGGUGAGUAACACGUGUAUCACCUACCUAUAAGACUGGGAUCACUUCGGGAAACCGGAGCUAAUCCCGUAUGAUCUUUUGAACCGCGUUGUUCAAAAGUAAAAGACGGUCUUUCUGUCACUUAUAGAUGGAUCCGCGCUGCAUUAGCUAGUUGGUAAGGUAAAGGCUUACCAAGGGAACUAUGCAUAACCGACCUGAGAGAGGGAUCGGCGACACUAGAACGUAGACACGGUCAAGACUCCUACGGGAGGGAGCAGUAGGGUAUCUUCCGCAGUGGGCGAAAGCAUGACGGAGCAACGCCGCGUGAGUGAUGAAGGUCUUCGGAGCGGAAAACUCGGUUAUUAGUUAAGAACAGAUGUGUAAGGAACUGAGGACAUCGUGACGGUAACUAAUAAGAAAGCCACGGCUAACUACGUG
Molecule: ribosomal RNA, 497 nt
Filed under: uncultured bacterium
Lineage: Bacteria
Description: partial 16S ribosomal RNA
Rfam family: Bacterial small subunit ribosomal RNA
Source: RNAcentral